This 215-nucleotide ribosomal RNA is filed under the name Pichia kudriavzevii. RNAcentral's name for it is "partial 26S ribosomal RNA". It matches the Rfam family "Eukaryotic large subunit ribosomal RNA", at positions 62 to 281 of the family's 3401-position model. Lineage: Eukaryota; Fungi; Ascomycota; Pichiomycetes; Pichiales; Pichiaceae. The record is from RNAcentral.
UCCCCCAGAGGUAUUGCCUCAGUAGCGGCGAGUGAAGCGGCAAGAGCUCAGAUUUGAAAUCGUGCUUUGCGGCACGAGUUGUAGAUUGCAGGUUGGAGUCUGUGUGGAAGGCGGUGUCCAAGUCCCUUGGAACAGGGCGCCCAGGAGGGUGAGAGCCCCGUGGGAUGCCGGCGGAAGCAGUGAGGCCCUUCUGACGAGUCGAGUUGUUUGGGAAU